AUAAAGGCAGUGAUGUUGAGAACUACCUAUUUUAUGAGGGAAUCGAUUCCCUUGUGAUUAGAAAAUCACCAAUGGAUCCUUCUGAGCCCUCA
Molecule: small nucleolar RNA, 92 nt
Organism: Hevea brasiliensis (rubber tree)
Lineage: Eukaryota; Viridiplantae; Streptophyta; Magnoliopsida; Malpighiales; Euphorbiaceae
Source: RefSeq, a predicted model, not a curated record